CCUACGGGUGGCAGCAGUGGGGAAUAUUGCACAAUGGGCGCAAGCCUGAUGCAGCCAUGCCGCGUGUGUGAAGAAGGCCUUCGGGUUGUAAAGCACUUUCAGCGGGGAGGAAGGCGGUGAGGUUAAUAACCUCAUCGAUUGACGUUACCCGCAGAAGAAGCACCGGCUAACUCCGUGCCAGCAGCCGCGGUAAUACGGAGGGUGCAAGCGUUAAUCGGAAUUACUGGGCGUAAAGCGCACGCAGGCGGUCUGUCAAGUCGGAUGUGAAAUCCCCGGGCUCAACCUGGGAACUGCAUUCGAAACUAGCAGGCUAGAGUCUUGUAGAGGGGGGUAGAAUUCCAGGUGUAGCGGUGAAAUGCGUAGAGAUCUGGAGGAAUACCGGUGGCGAAGGCGGCCCCCUGGACAAAGACUGACGCUCAGGUGCGAAAGCGUGGGGAGCAAACAGGAUUAGAUACCCCAGUAGUC
This 465-nucleotide ribosomal RNA is filed under the name uncultured Klebsiella sp. RNAcentral describes it as "bacterial SSU rRNA". It matches the Rfam family "Bacterial small subunit ribosomal RNA", at positions 338 to 795 of the family's 1533-position model. The record is from RNAcentral. Lineage: Bacteria; Pseudomonadati; Pseudomonadota; Gammaproteobacteria; Enterobacterales; Enterobacteriaceae.